CAAUGCAUGAUGGGAGUGGAUUAAAUCGGCUGUGACUAAAAGGCCGCAUUACAACAGACAGAUGUAUAAAAAAUGAUUGCUUUCCUGUGCCCAAAACAUAAUCAAAUCCUAAAAUGACAUCCAAGAACUAUAGUGAAUGACAAAGCAACAUUGUCGCAGGGCGGAUGCCGGUAGCUAUAUCGACCAAAGAGAGCUGGCUCCUAAAUCUGGUGACCUUCCAAGGAGCGACAUGGGCAAACACACUUGGCUCACUGGGGUGUGUACGUGGACCAGCGCGAGGGGGCCUGGCUCUGUCAGCUCUCUGUAUAACAACUGGGACCAACUGAAGGGAAACCCUCCCACCCGCUAGAGCUCGGCAUUGAACAUGGACCAGUCAAAACAUUUCCCCAAAUAUAUCUUGAUACCUUUGUAGACAUAUCCUCCCUUUCCAUAAUAACUUAUCUUGUCCCUGAGUUAGGCCCCUAAGGUUGCAUUGAAGGGUGGCCAGGUCUGGAAGAUGUCAAGUGUUAGACCUAAUUUAUGCUGUAAUGCACAUCAACGCUGCACAAUUGAUGUGUAUCAAUUUGUUGCUGGUGUUCAUUGGAUUCAUUGUUGUGAAUAUCUGAUCAACUGCCUAUGCACAGCUUUUUCCUAAAUUGCACUGUCUAAAUGUCACAUUGAAUCAGUAUUAUUGACGGAGUUGAAUGUUGUUGCAAAGAUUGAAUGCGGUCUUACUGAAGUGAAAUGUAGAGUUGCUUCCUAUGGAUUUCUACAUAAGUACCUCAUUCCACAACUUUGCAUGUGGUAAUUUGCAAAUGUUUGCUUUAUGCCAAGAGAAUGUUACUGUUCAUUUUAUUAAAGACAAGUCACAGUUUGUUAAACUUA
Molecule: long non-coding RNA, 864 nt
Organism: Oncorhynchus tshawytscha (Chinook salmon)
Lineage: Eukaryota; Metazoa; Chordata; Actinopteri; Salmoniformes; Salmonidae
Exons: 3
Source: RefSeq, a predicted model, not a curated record